Molecule: ribosomal RNA, 566 nt
Filed under: Euchilichthys dybowskii
Lineage: Eukaryota; Metazoa; Chordata; Actinopteri; Siluriformes; Mochokidae
Description: partial 16S ribosomal RNA
Rfam family: Bacterial large subunit ribosomal RNA
Source: RNAcentral
GCCUCCUGCAAACUUCAAAGUAUAGGAGGUCUUGCCUGCCCAGUGAUAAAUUAAACGGCCGCGGUAUUUUGACCGUGCGAAGGUAGCGCAAUCACUUGUCUUUUAAAUGAAGACCUGUAUGAAUGGUGGAACGAGGGCUUAGCUGUCUCCCCUCUCGAGUCAAUGAAAUUGAUCUGCCCGUGCAGAAGCGGACAUACAUAUACAAGACGAGAAGACCCUUUGGAGCUUAAGAUACAAGAUCAACUAUGUCAAGAACCCCACACCCGGUUAAACUAAAUAGCAAUUGGUCCACAUCUUCAGUUGGGGCGACCACGGGAGAAAAUAAAGCUCCCAUGCGGACUGGGGCCAAACCCUAAAACCAAGAGAGACAUCUCCAAGUCACAGAACAUCUGACCACAUAGAUCCGGCUACACGCCGACCAACGAACCAAGUUACCCUAGGGAUAACAGCGCAAUCCUCUUCCAGAGUCCAUAUCGACAAGAGGGUUUACGACCUCGAUGUUGGAUCAGGACAUCCUAAUGGUGCAGCCGCUAUUAAGGGUUCGUUUGUUCAACGAUUAAAGUCCU